GAUGAACGCUGGCGGCGUGCCUAAUACAUGCAAGUCGAGCGAACAGACGAGGAGCUUGCUCCUCUGACGUUAGCGGCGGACGGGUGAGUAACACGUGGAUAACCUACCUAUAAGACUGGGAUAACUUCGGGAAACCGGAGCUAAUACCGGAUAAUAUAUUGAACCGCAUGGUUCAAUAGUGAAAGAGGGUUUUGCUGUCACUUAUAGAUGGAUCCGCGCCGCAUUAGCUAGUUGGUAAGGUACGGCUUACAAAGGCAACGAUGCGAAGCCGACCUGGGAGGGGGAUCGGCACCCUCGGAACUGGGACCCGGUCCAGACCCCUACGGGGGGACGCGGUAGGGAAUUUUCCGCAAGGGGCGAAAGCCUGACGGAGCAACGCCGCGUGAGGGAGGAAGGUCUUCGGAUCGUAAAACUCUUUUAUUAGGGAAAAACAAAUGUGUAAGUAACUAUCCCCGUCUUGACGGUCCCUAAUCAGAAACCCACGGCUAACUACGG
This 495-nucleotide ribosomal RNA is filed under the name uncultured bacterium. RNAcentral describes it as "partial 16S ribosomal RNA". It matches the Rfam family "Bacterial small subunit ribosomal RNA", at positions 28 to 506 of the family's 1533-position model. The record is from RNAcentral.